GACGAACGCUGGCGGCGUGCUUAACACAUGCAAGUCGAACGGUGAAGCGCUUGCCUUUUUGGUGGGUGUGGAUGAGUGGCGAACGGGUGAGUAACACGUGAGUAACCUGCCCUCUUCUUCUGGAUAACCUCAUGAAAGUGGGGCUAAUACGGGGUAUUCCGGGUCUGUCGCAUGGCGGGUUUGGGAAAGAUUGCGCCUUUGGGUGUUUUCGGUGGGGGAUGGGCUCGCGGCCUAUCAGCUUGUUGGUGGGGUGAUGGCCUACCAAGGCGGUGACGGGUAGCCGGCCUGAGAGGGUGGACGGCCACACUGGGACUGAGACACGGCCCAGACUCCUGCGGGAGGCAGCAGUGGGGAAUAUUGCACAAUGGGCGCAAGCCUGAUGCAGCGACGCCGCGUGAGGGAUGGAGGCCUUCGGGGUGUGAACCUCUUUCGCCAGUGAAGCAGGCCUGCUCCUGUGUGGGUGGGUUGACGGUAGCUGGAUAAGAAGCGCCGGCUAACUACGUG
This 504-nucleotide ribosomal RNA is filed under the name uncultured bacterium. RNAcentral's name for it is "partial 16S ribosomal RNA". It matches the Rfam family "Bacterial small subunit ribosomal RNA", at positions 28 to 507 of the family's 1533-position model. The record is from RNAcentral.